Molecule: long non-coding RNA, 577 nt
Organism: Hyla sarda
Lineage: Eukaryota; Metazoa; Chordata; Amphibia; Anura; Hylidae
Exons: 3
Source: RefSeq, a predicted model, not a curated record
CAAAGAGCAGCACUGAGCAGAAAUAACACGGCUCCUGUUCAUUCUCCAUCAGUGAGGGGCCGGUGCUGGACACUGUGUAGGGACGCGGGAAUGCAAAGUCAUACACAUGACUGUGACUGAUGCACUAUCUCCAGGACAUGGAGUAGCAUUUCCGGACCUACAGCAAGACGUUGGAUGAAGGCAUAGCCCCAGAAAUAACACUGGUCCUGUUCAUCAGUGAGGGGCCGGUGCUGGACACUGUGUAGGGACACGGGAAUGCAAAGUCAUGCACAUGACUGUGACUGAUGCACUAUUUCCAGGAGAUGGAGUAGCAUUUCGGGACCUACAGCAAGACGUUGGAUGAAGGCACAGGCCUAGGAAUCAUGCACAUACACAGAAACAUUUGCCCAAAUUAUAGAGGUAACCUCCUUUAGUAUGCCCAGAGGAAGGGCCAUACAGUAGCCAUGGAUUCCCUACAGGUUUCCUCCCCUCUGGAGGUUUUUCCUGUCCUGAGUAUUAGUUACUGUACGCUCUUUGUGAGUGAUGGGAGGUUACAAAAAAUCCCCUACACAAACAUUUUAAUAAAUAAUAAAUAAAG